RNAcentral lists this ribosomal RNA (669 nucleotides) under uncultured bacterium. RNAcentral describes it as "bacterial SSU rRNA". It matches the Rfam family "Bacterial small subunit ribosomal RNA", at positions 835 to 1500 of the family's 1533-position model. The record is from RNAcentral.
ACUCACUAGUGGCGCAGCUAACGCUUUAAGCAUUCCGCCUGGGGAGUACGGUCGCAAGAUUAAAACUCAAAGGAAUUGACCGGGGGCCCGCACAAGCGGUGGAGCAUGUGGUUUAAUUCGACGCAACGCGCAGAACCUUACCGGCCCUUGACAUGUCUAUGACCGGCACCAGAGAUGGAGCCUUCCCUUCGGGGCAUAGAGCACAGGUGCUGCAUGGCUGUCGUCAGCUCGUGUCGUGAGAUGUUGGGUUAAGUCCCGCAACGAGCGCAACCCCCGUCCUUAGUUGCUACCAUUUAGUUGAGCACUCUAAGGAGACUGCCGGUGAUAAGCCGCGAGGAAGGUGGGGAUGACGUCAAGUCCUCAUGGCCCUUACGGGCUGGGCUACACACGUGCUACAAUGGCGGUGACAAUGGGAUGCAAAGGGGCGACCCCUCGCAAAUCUCAAAAAGCCGUCUCAGUUCGGAUUGGGCUCUGCAACUCGAGCCCAUGAAGUUGGAAUCGCUAGUAAUCGUGGAUCAGCAUGCCACGGUGAAUACGUUCCCGGGCCUUGUACACACCGCCCGUCACANCCAUGGGAGUUGGUUCUACCUGAAGGCAGUGCGCUAACCGCAAGGGGGCAGCUGACCACGGUAGGGUCAGCGACUGGGGUGAAGUCGUAANCAAGGUAUC